This 521-nucleotide ribosomal RNA is filed under the name uncultured bacterium. RNAcentral's name for it is "bacterial SSU rRNA". It matches the Rfam family "Bacterial small subunit ribosomal RNA", at positions 8 to 518 of the family's 1533-position model. The record is from RNAcentral.
AGAGUUGAUCAUGGCUCAGGAUGAACGCUAGCUACAGGCUUAACACAUGCAAGUCGAGGGGCAGCAUGUGGUUGCUUGCAACCAAUGAUGGCGACCGGCGCACGGGUGAGUAACGCGUAUCCAACCUUCCCCUUAGUAGGGCAUAGCCCGGCGAAAGUCGGAUUAAUACCCUAUGUUCUUCGUAGAUGACAUCUGAAAUGAAGCAAAGGUUUACCGCUAAGGGAUGGGGAUGCGUCUGAUUAGGCAGUCGGCGGGGUAACGGCCCACCGAGCCGACGAUCAGUAGGGGUUCUGAGAGGAAGGUCCCCCCACAUUGGAACUGAGACACGGUCCAAACUCCUACGGGAGGCAGCAGUGAGGAAUAUUGGUCAAUGGGCGCGAGCCUGAACCAGCCAAGUAGCCGUGCAGGAAGACGGCCCUAUGGGUUGUAAACUGCUUUUAUGCGGGGAUAAAGUCGCCCACGUGUGGGUGUUUGUAGGUACCGCAUGAAUAAGGACCGGCUAAUUCCGUGCCAGCAGCCGC